GUUGAUCCUGCCAGUAGUCAUAUGCUUGUCUCAAAGAUUAAGCCAUGCAUGUCUCAGUACAAGCCGAAUUAAGGUGAAACCGCGAAAGGCUCAUUAAAUCAGUUAUGGUUCCUUAGAUCGUACCCACAUUUACUUGGAUAACUGUGGUAAUUCUAGAGCUAAUACAUGCAAACAGAGCUCCGACCGGAGACGGAAGGAGCGCUUUUAUUAGAUCAAAACCAAUCGGCGGCGGGCUCGCUCGUCGUCGUACACCUUGGUGAAUCUGAAUAACUUUCUGCUGAUCGCAUGGUCUCGCACCGGCGACGCAUCUUUCAAAUGUCUGCCUUAUCAACUGUCGAUGGUAGGUUCUGCGCCUACCAUGGUUGUAACGGGUAACGGGGAAUCAGGGUUCGAUUCCGGAGAGGGAGCCUGAGAAACGGCUACCACAUCCAAGGAAGGCAGCAGGCGCGCAAAUUACCCACUCCCGGCACGGGGAGGUAGUGACGAAAAAUAACGAUACGGGACUCAUCCGAGGCCCCGUAAUCGGAAUGAGUACACUCUAAACCCUUUAACGAGGAUCAAUUGGAGGGCAAGUCUGGUGCCAGCAGCCGCGGUAAUUCCAGCUCCAAUAGCGUAUAUUAAAGUUG
RNAcentral lists this ribosomal RNA (626 nucleotides) under Limnius intermedius. Its description in RNAcentral is "SSU rRNA". It matches the Rfam family "Eukaryotic small subunit ribosomal RNA", at positions 7 to 612 of the family's 1831-position model. The record is from RNAcentral. Lineage: Eukaryota; Metazoa; Arthropoda; Insecta; Coleoptera; Elmidae.